UCUAAAAAUGUAUAAAGAAAAUAAUGUUAUUAUUCAAAUUACCAAAUAGCCAAAGGCCUAAAGUUGUGUAUGUGUGUACGUGGCACAUCUCCUAUUUUAAAGUCGUGACCUAAAAGAAAACUAAAUGCAUUUUCCUUUGACUUAGCCGCACACCCAUCUGACCAUCUCUUAUCUCUGUCUUCAUUCAAUCAUUCUUUUUUUUUUUUUCAGCCGUGACCUUGUGACAGUGAGCCAGCGCCCUACGCCCAACUUAAUUCAUGGAUUAUUAUAUAUCUAUUAUAAUUUUAUACGUACUAUUUUUCUUUAACUUAAUACAUGAAUUAUUUUAUUAUUGUAAUUCUUUUCUUCGAAUUAGUAUUUGAAGAUAUUAAUCUUAAUUAUUAUUGUAGGCAUUGUGUUAGAUGGGUGCUUAUGAUGGUAACUGAAAUGAAUAUUUUCUCUUCGAGCUUGUUUUAAAUGAUAAUACGAAAUGUAAUUAUUAUUUUUAGAUACUAGUUAGUGUUUUUCAAAUAGAUUUGUGUAAUUUAUACUUAAAUUUGAGAAUUUGUAUUGGAUUGA
Molecule: long non-coding RNA, 558 nt
Filed under: Citrus x clementina
Lineage: Eukaryota; Viridiplantae; Streptophyta; Magnoliopsida; Sapindales; Rutaceae
Description: Citrus clementina (C. clementina) long non-coding RNA (CCLE_LNC001940)
Source: RNAcentral